This 315-nucleotide ribosomal RNA is filed under the name Triticum aestivum (bread wheat). Its description in RNAcentral is "partial small subunit ribosomal RNA". The record is from RNAcentral. Lineage: Eukaryota; Viridiplantae; Streptophyta; Magnoliopsida; Poales; Poaceae.
AUGAGAAGGAGGUUGCUGUGUUUGGCUACAGGAACCCUGCGGAGAUCCCAUGGGCUGCUGCUAGUGCUGAGUAUGUUGUUGAGUACACCAGUGUUUUCAUUGACAAGGACAAGGCUGCAGCUCACAUAUAGGGUGGUGCCAAUAAGGUCAUCAUUUCUGCUCCCAGCAAGGAUGCUCCCAUGUUUGUCUGUGGUGUCAAUGAGAAGGAAUACAAAUCUGACAUCGACAUUGUCUUCAACGCUAGCUGCACCACUAACUGCCUUGCUCCUCUUGCUAAGGUUAUCAAUGACAGGUUUGGCAUCGUUGAGGGUUUGA